RNAcentral lists this ribosomal RNA (309 nucleotides) under uncultured bacterium. Its description in RNAcentral is "bacterial SSU rRNA". It matches the Rfam family "Bacterial small subunit ribosomal RNA", at positions 28 to 334 of the family's 1533-position model. The record is from RNAcentral.
GACGAACGCUGGGCGGCGUGCCUAACCACAUGCGAAGUCGAACGGAAGCAAGACUUCGGUUUUGCUUUAGUGGCGAACGGGUGAGUAACGCGUGAGAAACCUGCCUUUCAGUGGGGGACAACAGUUGGAAACGACUGCUAAUACCGCAUAAUGUUAUCGAGCGGCAUCGCUUGAUAACCAAAGCUUUAUGUGCUGAAAGAUGGUCUCGCGUCUGAUUAGCUAGUUGGUGAGGUAACGGCUCACCAAGGCGACGAUCAGUAGCCGGUCUGAGAGGAUGAACGGCCACAUUGGGACUGAGAUACGGCCCAG